This 1828-nucleotide long non-coding RNA is filed under the name Nicotiana tabacum (common tobacco). RNAcentral describes it as "long non-coding RNA (NTAB_LNC002938)". Lineage: Eukaryota; Viridiplantae; Streptophyta; Magnoliopsida; Solanales; Solanaceae. The record is from RNAcentral.
CUAUGUCUAGCAAUUCUAUUUAUCUUUUAUCUCCUUUUCUUUCUUUCUUUAGAAUUUUUACCUUCUCCCUUCACAUUCAAUAAAUAAAUAAAAAAAAUUGUAUUAAAUAAACAACUGUUGCUCGAAAUGUUUCUUGGGUAUUUAUUGGAGAGUCCAAACAUUCCAUGGAAGCCCAAAGGUAAAACAGUGGCCCCUUCCUCAAAUCGCUCACAUAACAGUACCCUCCCCCAAAUAUAAGAUGAGGCAAAUUUGGAGUCAAUGAUGGCAGACUUUCAAUUUGGAUUCCGAGUCGAAAAUCAGCGAUCAGCAACGUUAUUGAUUGGAAGCAAUUAAAGGCUUCAACGACAAGACACUUCUGCUCCCGAGAAAAUUCACGGACAGUUCAUGACUUUGCAGGUCCUUUUUCUAUUAAAAUUAUCCUAACUUUUUUUUACUCAAUUUUAUGAUAUUUAUUUAUGUAACAAUUUGAGAGGAUAUCACAAAUGCUCUAAAUAUUAAAAUUCGAACUUGUGAAAUAUAUACAGAUAAAUCAUAGUUGAUUGAAGUGUGGGUCAAUCUUUUGAAGUUAAGUUGGAAAUAAUAUCAUAUUAUUCCAAAAGAGAGGUCAUUUUGUAGUUGGAAUGAUUUGCUGUUGUAAUUGAAUUUUUCAUAGUUUUUCCCCUUUAAUUUAUGCUUUUUGGUUAUCUCCUUAAUUGUGGGGCAUUUUCAGUUUAACAUAGGUGGUCUCAUAUUUACUUGGAUAUGUCACGACCCGGAUUUUCCACUCUCGGGAGUCGUGAUGGCGCCUACUAAUGGGAGCUAGGCAAGUCAAACCUUAACUACUUGCUGCAUUUUCAUUUUUGCUUCUUUAACAAACAUGAGUCGAUAAUAUGAUAAAAGCGGAAUUUUAAAUAAAUAAGCGGAAGUCAACAAUUAUAUAUCUUAAAGGCUACGUCCAUUACAACUUUUAAAAAACCUCAAAUACCCCAAAACCUAGUGUCACAGUGUCAAAGACUGUUUAAGAGUUACUACAUACAAGGUCUGAAGAAAUACAAUACACUGUCUCUGAACAAAGGAAACGAAACAGGAAAUAGAGAUAGAGGGAGACGCCAGGGUCUGCGGACGCCUGCAGGCGCCUGCAGGUCUAUCUUGGGUCUCCGAGUGGACUGAAGGAAGCCCUCCAACUACUGCCCGAAAGCUGCUCCUGAAUCUGCACACAGUACAGAGUGUAGUAUCAGCACAACCGACCCCAUGUGCUGGUAAGUAUCUAGCAUAACCUCGGCGAAGUAGUGACGAGGCUAGGACCAGACUACCAAAUAAACCUGUGCAACGGAAAAGAAAUACAGAAAUAACCAGUCAAUGUGGGAGGGGGAAACAUGUUGUGGGGGCGACAAUAGUUCCGCAUAGAUAAGCAUCAAGUAAGGAAAGAACGACAUAACUAGAAUAUCAACAAAGAAGCAGAAAUCAACAAUUGCACAGCAUCACCCUUCGUGCUUUUACUCUCAGCCUCACCAAAGCAGUCAUAUAAUAAAAACGUCCACGGCAUCACCCUUCGUGCUUUUACUCUCGUCCUUACCAAAACAAUCAUAUAAUCAAAAUGUGCACGAAAUCACCCUUCGUGCUUUUACUCUCUUUCCUCAACAUAUGAUCAAUAGAAUCGGCACGGAAUGGUACGUCGUGCGGCACGGCAUCACCCUUCGUGCGGCACGGCAUCACCCUUCGUGCUUUUACACCCUUUCCUCACAAUAACAAACAAUGCACGGCAUCAUCCUUCGUGCUUUAAUACUCUUCCUUACCCUAACAACAAUCACAAACAAAGGGGCAAGGGAAUAAAUAAAAUAAUAAUAAC